GAUGAACGCUGGCGGCGUGCCUAAUACAUGCAAGUCGAGCGAACAGACGAUGAGCUUGCUCCUCUGACGUUAGCGGCGGACGGGUGAGUAACACGUGGAUAACCUACCUAUAUGACUGGGAUAACUUCGGGAAACCGGAGCCAAUACCGGAUAAUAUAUUGAACCGCAUGGUUCAAUAGUGAAAGACGGUUUUGCUGUCACUUAUAGAUGGAUCCGCGCCGCAUUAGCUAGUUGGUAAGGUAACGGCUUACCAAGGCAACGAUGCGUAGCUGACCUGAGAGGGUGAUCGGCCACACUGGAACUGAGACACGGUCCAGACUCCUACGGGAGGCAGCAGUAGGGAAUCUUCGGCAAUGGGCGAAAGCCUGACGGAGCAACGCCGCGUGAGUGAUGAAGGUCUUCGGAUCGUAAAACUCUGUUAUUAGGGAAGAACAAAUGUGUAAGUAACUAUGCACGUCUUGACGGUACCUAAUCAGAAAGCCACGGCUAACUACGUG
RNAcentral lists this ribosomal RNA (497 nucleotides) under uncultured bacterium. RNAcentral describes it as "partial 16S ribosomal RNA". It matches the Rfam family "Bacterial small subunit ribosomal RNA", at positions 28 to 507 of the family's 1533-position model. The record is from RNAcentral.